UCGAACGAACGUAGAGUCUGGUUGUAGCUGGCCUGCAAAGGCAUGUGCACGCCUGCUCUUUCAUCCACACACCCCUGUGCAUUUGUGAGACGGAGGCAUGUUUUCUUCCCAUUCGUUUGGGGAGAGAUCGGUUUCCGUCUGCCGUUAUACAAACUCAAUUAAUUUAACUCGAAUGUAAUUGAUGCGACGCAUCUAAUAAAUAUAC
This 205-nucleotide unclassified non-coding RNA is filed under the name uncultured Ceratobasidiaceae. RNAcentral's name for it is "sequence contains ITS1". The record is from RNAcentral. Lineage: Eukaryota; Fungi; Basidiomycota; Agaricomycetes; Cantharellales; Ceratobasidiaceae.